GACAAGAAAAGGAAAAGAUGGUGUUGAAUAGCCCCCUCCUAAGGGGCAGGUUGCAGGUUCGAAUCCUGCCGGGGUCACCA
Molecule: transfer RNA, 80 nt
Filed under: Paracoccus sp. R12_1
Lineage: Bacteria; Pseudomonadati; Pseudomonadota; Alphaproteobacteria; Rhodobacterales; Paracoccaceae
Also listed under: 1 other name
Description: tRNA-Ser
Source: RNAcentral